UCUCCUACAAUCCAUCCUCCCACAGACAGCCAUCUUUAAUUUCUGAUUCCCCCUCUUCUCCAGUCCAUCUCCUCACCAUAUGGAGGAAAGGAAUUAACACACAGAGCUCUUGUGACCAGAAGUUACAGGUUUCUUACCAGGGUGAAGUGCGCCACACUGUCUUCCAAACAUCUGUGGACAAGAAGGUACCGAAGUUUUACAUAGUGCCUGCAUACCUAAAGCAGCAAGAAACUUCUGAUGACUGAGCAGGCAAAGCAUUUAAGAAGCCACACAAGGGCAGAAUUAUCCUUCCCUCCUCAAACACUGGGGACUCUGGGAUUUUCUGAGACUUAAAAAUAGCAUUUCCAAUGAGCUGCCCUCAGAGGAUGCAAACUGUGGUAUCUGCCAGCCUCACUCACAGGGAUUUGAGGGAAGUGCUGCUAUAAUUGCAUCCUAUCUGGAUGUACUAUGAUGCUCUCUAGUCCUACUAUGUCAGGAAGGAGAAAGAGGGAGCUGUUCCAUGAGGAAGAGGAAGCUGCAAGCCAAGCAUGGUGGCAAAGCUGGCAAAGGCAAGGUACCAGCAGCAAGAGCCAUCUCAUCUGACUGUGUGAGAAAGCAGUAGAAAAGUUUGUAGACAAGUAAGUGAACUGUCUUGAACUUGACAAAGAAAAAAUCAGAGCAGAGAAAAUAUUACCCUGGAAAGAAGAAGACAAGACAGCAAUAGAGACACCUGCAAGUUGUCAGGGUAAGGAUCACUAUUGAGCUACCAUCUCAGUAACAUUGUGCAAGGAAAAACAAAGGGAUAGAGGAAAAAGCUCCAUGACAUCUCUUGAAAACUAGCAGGGAAUGAAGGGGAGAGAGAAGGAAAAAGGAUUUUUCUGAGGGGUGCACUGAAGAAGCAAUUAAUCACAGAGUGAAGAAGAGAAGCAGUACCACAGUCACAGCUGAAAGCAGAG
This is a long non-coding RNA of Zonotrichia leucophrys gambelii, 935 nucleotides long. RefSeq lists it as uncharacterized. The transcript has 3 exons. Lineage: Eukaryota; Metazoa; Chordata; Aves; Passeriformes; Passerellidae. The record is from RefSeq and is a predicted model, not a curated record.